UCUACAUAAUGCUGCGUUGCAAGAACGUACAAACGGAUGACGUUAAAAUAACGCGAGAGGGAUUUGAGAUCAUAAUCCUGCGCAUGAUUUUUCGAGUCGUUCUCGCAGUACUUUGAUGUCAUCCGCUUGUAGGUUCUUGAUGCACUGCAUAAUAAACUACGCAUCCAAAUGUAACGCGAUCGUUUUUAACACUUCGGCAGGCAAAAAGCACAGUGAAACAUAUAUCGUUUAUUUAUACAGUAUCUAACUUUUUUUAUUAACAAAAGCACCAACAUACAAAAUUCUCGUUGGGCAGGAAUAAACCCCCUGCUACAAUGAAAAGCGCGCAAAAGCAAAUUUAAAUAGAAACAAUCCAUGGUACAGCUCAAGAAACGUUAUCAAUACUUUAAAAUUCAGAAAGAAAAACGUCUGGAAGUUCAGGAUCACUUGAACAAAAUUAUCUUGACCAUGAUCUGAAACCAUGUUUAUGUAACUGAAAUGUAAACAAACAUAAUUGUCCAAAUACAUUAGCUUCUUUUAUUACAAAACUAUUUAAAAAGGGUUAAAUUACAUUAAGAUUUAGAAAGCCUAAAAAUACUUAAAUUCUUAUAAUUAUUUAUUGUAAAUCACAGUUUUCAAAUGUGGCUUACAAUCACUAAACUGAUCUGGGCCACAUACUUCCCACCCACAAUUGGCCCAAAUGUUACCUGCCAUCAUGGAUCUAGUGCCAUCAUUGCCCAUACUUGGCUGACGUGUUGCAUGCCAUUGCCAUUAUACAUUGCUGCUGAAAUGGCGGGCGGUGGCUAGCUGUGGACACUUCCGUUUUCGACCACAGCAAUAAAAAAAGUACAAUGCAGCCAGUUCACAUCAUACAUACGCCCACUCCCCUAACAUAUAGCCUAAAUACAGAAUGAAAAUACCAGUACACAGAGGGUAUUUAGAACAGAGACAGACAGAGCCAGACGACCUGAAUGGAGUAAAACAAGCUUGUACUAUCCUAACAUGUUAGAAGUCUUUGACUUCACAGUCAUUAAUGGCCAUCUUGUGAUCUUCAUCCCACUUUUACGGAGUCCAUGGGCCCAUGAGCCCCAAAGUCUAUUACAGAUGCUGGCCUGAGGCUCUUUUUCCAGUACAUACUUUGCAGUACAUACUUUGUGUCUGUAUCUUAUCAACUUUGGCUUCUGAUGUCAGUUAGAUGGCAUGCAGACAGCUGGGAAUUAAAAUUAGCACCUCACACCUAUCAAAUACAGGGCAACUGCAAAACUUCCAAGUCCCCUGCAACCAAUUCAGAAAUAUACAAUUAAGAAAUGUAUUAUAUUUCAGAAGCAAAGAUAAACUUUGCUGGCCACAUCAGCUUAAGAUUCAACAAGUGCAGAAAUAAGAGUGAUAGAUAAAAAAUAUAUGCAUAAAAUAAAAAAAUAAAAAGCGCUAUGUAGGCUACCUUUCAUGCAGAUAUGUUGUAAAUAAAAAUUGAACAUAAUAAUAACUGUGUGUUAUACUACAGACACAGAUCUAAAAAUAUUGCCUCGAAAGAUGAAAUACUGCAGGAGGUAUUGUUGCACAGCUAAAUAGGCCUAUACAGUUAUUGUACAGGUAAUAAUUGCACAGCUUAAGUUUUAUAUAAAAUUCUGAAAUCAAGAAUAGUCAGUGAUUGUUUAUGCAUCAUAUUUCCCGUGUUUUACUGUCAGGCACUGACUUAGUGUUUACAAUUCUGAAGUGUUCUGUAACAAUUUCAUAAGUGGCAGAGAAAAAUUGAAUGGCAACAUUUUCAGACCCCACCCAUGGACUGUAUCAGCUGCUGCUGUCUGGCAAGUGGUGCUGCAGCCUCAAGUCUCUGAGCAUCAUGCUUUGGGACAGUUUUUCUGCAAGACAACCAGGCUUAAGAAUGCUGGAAACUACUAACCUCCUAAUGCCUGUCUGCUUGUUGAUGUGAAAGGACUGAAUCUUGUGUCCUGAUAUGUCCUCUUUUGGCUUGGAUUUUAAGGGUGAAAUUGUCCUUUUUGUCUGUUUGAAAUGCUGCCCUGACAGUGGUUUUCUGUUAUCGUAUAUAUUGACCAUAGACUAUAUUGGCACAUGUCCACUUUAAAAACAUUGAAGACACAAAGUCAAUCUGUAUAUUCAACAAAAUUCAAGGCCCUCACUGUGAAAUCAUUAGGCCACUACACAAUUUUCUCGGUUGAUGGGGAAAACAGCCACACUAUGAAUAAAGCUUUACAAUGGGGUGCUAUAUUUUUUAAUUUACAAUAGGUGAACAAUGUGUGAAAGACUAGGAAUUUAUUCUGGGGCUCAACAGUUCAACCAAGGCUCUUGCAUAAACUUGAGCUUUGGUAAACUGGGGGUGAAGCAAUUGAAGACAUUAAAAUGCUUGAAACAUUAAACAACCGUGUAAGUGUAAACAAUCAUCGUAAUUGUUUUUCUAGUCUCUCUCUCUGUGCUUUAGGUAUCAAGAAAGUGCGCGCAGAUUCAAAUAAUUGAAUGUUGUACAAUCAUUGGACGAAUCGUACGGCAGAGGCAAUCUCGACCAAUAACAUCGCUUGACUUUGGGAGGGGGAUAUACGUCAUAACGUAAGAUCGCGCCAUACUGGCAGUGGCCAGAGUAGAGAGCCUUGAUAAAGUAUGGAACGUUUUCAGGAUAUUCAGCUUUCACUAAAGCGAAUUUUAGUUGAUGUGUCAAUGAAGAACAAAAGCUGGAAUGUGAAUAGAAGAAGGGGUCGUACGGGGUCUGUAAAAAUACUCAAGUGGUGCUCGCUGCAUAUCAGAUCAAGCAUUGGAAUAAGAUUUUUAUCGGGGGAGAACAACCAACAGAAAGACCCAUUCACCAACUACAUGGCGCACUGAAAGGGGAGAUUCAUGUCACCUUCACCAGUCCUUUCUUUAAUUGCUGGAAACUGUUAAGGGAAAGACCCUCAGACAUAAUAGGAUAAAUGUGGCUGCAGAAUGUUUUCGUGAAUCCGGCCCCAGGUGGUGAAGUCGGAACCAGACCAGACAGCUCUCGCACAGCCAGCCUCUGAACCUGCUCUACAGUUUGAAUCGCCCGGGUGAAGUUAAACUCUACUUUGCUGGUGACCCAGAUGGCUGAGAACAUGAUAGGCUGAAACCCUGGAAGCUAAGAGGGAAGCGGCAAAGGAGUUCGAAGAAGAGCUGAAAAGCACGUCUUAAUGAACACAAGGACAAGGCCUGGUGAAAGCCACUACAGAGGAUCAUAGCCAUCGUUGGAGUUCUGAAAGGACGUGGGUGAAUAUCAAUCUGCCAAAUGAACUUUUUUUAGCAUGCACAUUCACAUCUUUAUAUUAAUACUGAUUAUAUAUGAACUUGUUUGUUUGUUACUGGAAAGAACUUAGCUUCUAUUGUGUUUGACAGAAGGAGUUUUAAGCCUAUGUGCAUUUUCUAGAUGUUAAGCAUGAACAGUACUUAAACAACCAUUACCCGUACCAGCUCUGUCCGUGCUCCAUUUUCCAUUGCAGAUCAUACUCAGAGAUAGUACCCCUUAAAUGCAGCUGGUCGUCAUAGCAAGGCCACACACAACUGCCGCGGCGUAAUGUUCAAUGCGAGACACACACCAGCGCCCAAAUUUAAUUUAAAACGUUUCAGCAUGACUCGGAUUGUACUUAAUUUAACUAAAACAAAUAUCAUAAACAUGUCUAAUUAAUACUUUAUCAACACGUCAUACUCCUGGAAAAGACCCACAUAAAUCACAUAUUUUAAAGGAAUAGUCUACUCAUUUUCAAUAUUAUUUCAUAUUUUCAUAUUUCAACAUAUAUCAAUAAUAUGUUAUUACCUUAACUAAGAAUUGUUGAUACAUCCCUUUAUCAUCUGUGUGCGUGCACGUAAGCGCUGGAGCGCGCUGCGACGCUUCGAUAGCAUUUAGCUUUGAGUUCACUCAAAAACUCAAAAGUCGAUUUAAAAUUGCAGUUUAAAAAAACUUGCAUGCAUUGAAGACCCGUCACCCCUAGGAACAACAUGAAACGAUUGAAUAUAUCUUCAUAUGAUAUAUCAGGACACUUCUUAAUUUCAUCCUCACACUGGCUCAUACAUGGCUGGUGUAGUAAAUAUUUACCAUAACCGUUUUAAUCAUGUUUUAUGCGUGCUCCCAACACACUGUUUUCUACUGGCUGGCCAUUAAAACUGAGCUCCCGCACAAAGAAGGGAAAUACGUCACAUCUCUUACUCCCGCGUUUGAAAAUAAUGUGGAUAACAACAUUAUUCUGUUUGAGGUGUAACAAGCUGUGUUCCCACAUGUUUAAAGGCUCUCUAAGCGAAUCUGCGAGACGUUAGUUAUUGUUGACGUUUGAAACUGUUUUCAAACAGACGGAGCGUAGCUAACUCCUCCCCCUCCCUUCCGUGCUUUCAUGAACGCGCCCAACCCCCACCCCCAAAUCCUUUGUCGUUUAUUGGCUGGAAUACUUUGUUUUGUUUUGUGAUGCUAGGUUUGGCCACUUGUUGAUAUUGCCGUUUGUGAAGUCUAGGCUGUCUACAGAGAUCGCGUUUUUUUACAGUUUGAUCAACGGACAGGCAGCAAGCAGAUAGUGAGGAGAUGUUUCCGGUAUGUAACAAAAAAUGUUUUAUGGUCUAAAACGCUUCAAUUCCCUUAGAGCGCCUUUGUUUUGCUGCUUAUGACCGUAAUCAUCAUGGAAAACGUUGGUUUACUGAUACUACACGCCAGAAGUCGCACCCAUAAUUCGCGCAAAUCGUCAUGGGGUGUAGGAAUAGUGUGCAUAGGGCCCAAAAUUAUUAACAAUAGGGUAACAUUCUUCAUAGAGCCAUAGCUUAUUUAUUUUGCUUUUAAAGUGCACCAAAUGAAUGCACUUAACAUUAAAAUGAACACUUUUCUUUUGAGUGGAAAUGUACAUCUCAAAUGGGGAUAUGCAGUGAAUGGAAAGGACAUUGCUGUAAAAUAUCAGAAGUAUGUAUUUAUGUAUGUAUGUAUUUGGUGAAAAAGUUGUUGAUGCAAAUGCACUUAACAUAGACCUUCUGUUUGUUUUUUGUACAUUUAAAACACAAUAUACUAAUACAGAAUGUGUGGACAUAAACUGGAAUGUUGGUUGCAAUUACUGUCAAAUAAUGUUUAUAUUAAGUAAAUCCCAUGUACUAUUAAGAAAAGUCUGUAGAUAUAUUGGAGUUGCUUGUUAUUACUGUCAAAUUAUAUUCAUAUAAGGUUAGUCCCAUGCACUUAUAAGAAAGGUCUGUAUAUAUCGGAGUUGCUUAUAACAGUGGUUCUCAAACUGGGGUCCGGGGCCGCGAGAUGGUGCCAGGGGGGCUCCAGUUUUAUGACAUUUUAUAAAAUACAUUAAAUUCUAAUGAAUUCUGGGAAAUUAAACUAGGGAUGCACCGAUACCGAUACUGGUAUCGGGUAUCGGCCUUGAUACCACAUUUUCUAAAGUACUCGUACUCGUUAAAAGUCCCCCGAUACCUGUAAUCGAUACCACGGUCUGAGAAAUGUCUAUGCUUGAGCAGCGUGUAAGGAGUUAAUGCCUCGUGUUGUCCAAAGAGGCAGAGUUUACAACAAACUGGAAAACUAGUCCUUUGUUUUUUUGUUAAAUUAUAUAACUAAAGCUGUUACCUGUACAUUUAAAUCAUGUUUUUUUAUGAAGUACUCUGUAUCGGUAUCGGCAAGUACUGAAAUGCAAGUACUUGUACUCGUACUUGUAUUCCAAAAAAGUGGUAUCGGUGCAUCACUAAAUUAAACCAAAAAAAGGUAGCACUACUUUGUAUAAUUUAAUGUUUUGUUUAAUUAAAAUGUGAAGUUUUAGAACAGUUUUUUGUCAUAAAUUUUCUUUGGGGGGGGCGCGAAGGAAUGCACCGUACACAAAGGGGGGCCGCACGCUGAAAAAGUUUGAGAACCACUGGCUUAUAAAGUAAACCCCAUGAUGUAAUGGAAAAAGUAUAUGUGU
This is a long non-coding RNA of Paramisgurnus dabryanus, 5870 nucleotides long. RefSeq lists it as uncharacterized. Lineage: Eukaryota; Metazoa; Chordata; Actinopteri; Cypriniformes; Cobitidae. The record is from RefSeq and is a predicted model, not a curated record.